RNAcentral lists this ribosomal RNA (391 nucleotides) under uncultured bacterium. RNAcentral describes it as "bacterial SSU rRNA". It matches the Rfam family "Bacterial small subunit ribosomal RNA", at positions 28 to 420 of the family's 1533-position model. The record is from RNAcentral.
GACGAACGCUGGCGGCGUGCUUAACACAUGCAAGUCGAGCGGUAAGGCCCUUUCGGGGGUACACGAGCGGCGAACGGGUGAGUAACACGUGGGUGACCUGCCCUCAGCUCUGGGAUAAGCCUGGGAAACUGGGUCUAAUACCGGAUAUGACUCCAUGACGCAUGUUGUGGGGUGGAAAGCCUUGUGCGGCUGAGGAUGGGCCCGCGGCCUAUCAGCUUGUUGGUGGGGUGANGGCCUACCAAGGCGACGACGGGUAGCCGGCCUGAGAGGGCGACCGGUCACACUGGGACUGAGACACGGCCCAGACUCCUACGGGAGGCAGCAGUGGGGAAUCUUGCGCAAUGGGCGAAAGCCUGACGCAGCGACGCCGCGUGAGGGAUGACGGCCUCGG